This is a non-coding RNA of Peromyscus maniculatus bairdii (prairie deer mouse), 400 nucleotides long. Lineage: Eukaryota; Metazoa; Chordata; Mammalia; Rodentia; Cricetidae. The record is from RefSeq and is a predicted model, not a curated record.
CAAGCCGGUUGGCCCCGAGCCGCCCCCUGCCGUUCAUGCAGGCAGGUCCAGGCAGGAGGGAUGUGCACUGUCACCGUUUUAUCUCGCCAGCUACUGAUCAGGAAGGAGCAACAAGCCAUCUGACCCAAGCCCUAAGGUACAGGAGGCAUACUCCCUUGACUCCAUGCCUCUUGGAAGGAUGUCGUAAGGUCAGCAGAGCUUUAGUGAACACGGUUAAAGUCCUAGGUUGGCAGCAGCUGAGGGAGGCUUCAUCAGAAGACGGUGUUGAGUUGCCCUGGCAUCACUGGGCAGAUGAAGAGGAUGGGUGCUGCUGAGGGGUAGCACCAUGCCCUCCCUAUGUUCCAACUCCCCUGGCCAGAGGCUCCCCAGUUCCACUCCAGAAGUACAGCCCUGUCGCUAA